GUAGUCAUAUGCUUGUCUCAAAGAUUAAGCCAUGCAUGUCUAAGUAUAAGCAAUUUAUACGGUGAAACUGCGAAUGGCUCAUUAAAUCAGUUAUCGUUUAUUUGAUAGUACCCUACUACAUGGAUACCUGUGGUAAUUCUAGAGCUAAUACAUGCUGAAAACCCCGACUUCGGAAGGGGUGUAUUUAUUAGAUAAAAAACCAACGCCCUUCGGGGCUCCUUGGUGAUUCAUAAUAACUUAACGAAUCGCAUGGCCUUGCGCCGGCGAUGGUUCAUUCAAAUUUCUGCCCUAUCAACUUUCGAUGGUAGGAUAGUGGCCUACCAUGGUGGCAACGGGUAACGGGGAAUUAGGGUUCGAUUCCGGAGAGGGAGCCUGAGAAACGGCUACCACAUCCAAGGAAGGCAGCAGGCGCGCAAAUUACCCAAUCCCGAUACGGGGAGGUAGUGACAAUAAAUACUGAUACAGGGCCCUUUUGGGUCUUGUAAUUGGAAUGAGUACAAUCUAAAUCCCUUAACGAGGAACAAUUGGAGGGCAAGUCUGGUGAACCAUCAGUUCUCUGCUGACGCCAGAGAUAGUAGGGUCCCCCCCGGUCCUCCGGGGGGGAUUACGCCUGCUAGUCGAGCACUCGGUGUGGCGAUGGGUGAGUGCCGGCGAGGUGACCUGGUACGGGGAAGCCUAAGGGUUGUCGGCCGCGAGGGGGGCCCGUUCGACCUAUGGUAAUCCCGUGGCGAGCUCCAGCCGGGCGGAAGCCCGCUGGGGCCGUCGUAACGCGCGGAAAGGCACCGGCUGCCACCUCCGGGUGGUGGCUCAAGGGACGUGCUGUCCCAUCCGAAAGGAUGCCCUCAACUGGAGCACCCAUCGUGUAAAGGUUGGGGGGGGCACGCGGCGUGGCGCCGUGUGCCCGGGAGACCCUCCCCCCGCGGGUUCCCGCGGGUGGGGGGGCUGUGAACGGCCAGCAGCCGCGGUAAUUCCAGCUCCAAUAGCGUAUAUUAAAGUUGUUGCAGUUAAAAAGCUCGUAGUUGAACCUUGGGCCUGGCUGGCCGGUCCGCCUCACCGCGAGUACUGGUCCGGCUGGGCCUUUCCUUCUGGGGAACCCCAUGGCCUUCACUGGCCGUGGCGGGGAACCAGGACUUUUACUGUGAAAAAAUUAGAGUGUUCAAAGCAGGCCUUUGCUCGAAUACAUUAGCAUGGAAUAAUAGAAUAGGACGUGCGGUUCUAUUUUGUUGGUUUCUAGGACCGCCGUAAUGAUUAAUAGGGAUAGUCGGGGGCGUCAGUAUUCAGCUGUCAGAGGUGAAAUUCUUGGAUUUGCUGAAGACUAACUACUGCGAAAGCAUUCGCCAAGGAUGUUUUCAUUAAUCAGGGAACGAAAGUUAGGGGAUCGAAGACGAUCAGAUACCGUCGUAGUCUUAACCAUAAACUAUGCCGACUAGGGAUCGGACGGUGUUUCUAUGAUGACCCGUUCGGCACCUUACGAGAAAUCAAAGUUUUUGGGUUCUGGGGGGAGUAUGGUCGCAAGGCUGAAACUUAAAGAAAUUGACGGAAGGGCACCACAAGGCGUAAACCAUUGCUACAGCCGCAGCAACUCUGCGCCGAACAGCAGCCCGAAAGGGUGAUGUGGUGCCCUCUAAGCGGUAAAUGCUAGUCUGCCACAGGCAGGCGACACGCUCAAAUUGCGGGAAACCCCUAAAGCUCUCAGCUACCAAGCCGCCGGUCGAAAGACGGCGGUGGCCAGGUUAAUUGCCUCGGGUACGGUCACAACGCUGGGAGAUGCAUGGGCGAUCCGCAGCCAAGCCCCUACGUCCCGGCAGGGAUACGGGGAAGGUUCAGAGACUAGAUGGGCGUGGGUUGGCCGGGUUAGGGGGGUGUCCCCCCCCCGGGCGGCUUAAGAUAUAGUCCGGCACCGGGAGAGAUCCCGGUGGACAGGUCCACCUGUAAAACGGGAGCCUGCGGCUUAAUUUGACUCAACACGGGGAAACUCACCAGGUCCAGACAAAAUAAGGAUUGACAGAUUGAGAGCUCUUUCUUGAUCUUUUGGAUGGUGGUGCAUGGCCGUUCUUAGUUGGUGGAGUGAUUUGUCUGCUUAAUUGCGAUAACGAACGAGACCUCGGCCCUUAAAUAGCCCGGUCCGCGUCUGCGGGCCGCUGGCUUCUUAGGGGGACUAUCGGCUCAAGCCGAUGGAAGUGCGCGGCAAUAACAGGUCUGUGAUGCCCUUAGAUGUUCUGGGCCGCACGCGCGCUACACUGACAGGGCCAGCGAGUACAUCACCUUGGCCGAGAGGUCUGGGUAAUCUUGUUAAACCCUGUCGUGCUGGGGAUAGAGCAUUGCAAUUAUUGCUCUUCAACGAGGAAUGCCUAGUAGGCACGAGUCAUCAGCUCGUGCCGAUUACGUCCCUGCCCUUUGUACACACCGCCCGUCGCUACUACCGAUUGAAUGGCUCAGUGAGGCCUUCGGACUGGCUCAGGGGGGUUGGCAACGACCGCCCAGAGCCGGAAAGUUGGUCAAACUUGGUCAUUUAGAGGAAGUAAAAGUCGUAACAAGGUUUCCGUCGCCUAAGUCAUGCGCUGGAAUGGAUGAUUCCUUCCGCGGUGUACACUUAUGGAAGCCUUUGCAGCCACGCAAGUGGUAGACCCGAAGCGACUGUAAACAAGUUUGGUGUCGUGAUGCAAGUCAGCGGUCCGCUGGCGACACUUUCGAAUUGACGGGGACACCCUAAAGCCGAUCGCACCAACCCGUGCGGGGAAACCUCACGGGGGCCUGUGGUAACGACACAGGGGACGGUAACAGACGAUCCGGAUAGUUCUGCCUGGCAGAGAGGAUGGGUAAUCCGCAGCGAAGCCCCUACGUCGCGCCCCCCUCCGGGGGCUCGAUACGGGGAACGUUCACAGACUAAGUGGAAGUGGGUGGGGUCCCCAGGCCUGGGACCCUGCUUAAGAUAUAGUCGGGCCACCUGGGAGACCAGGUGGGAAGUACACCGCUACGAACCGUUCCGUAGGUGAACCUGCGGAAGGAUCAUUA
Molecule: ribosomal RNA, 3015 nt
Filed under: Rasamsonia argillacea
Lineage: Eukaryota; Fungi; Ascomycota; Eurotiomycetes; Eurotiales; Trichocomaceae
Description: partial 18S rRNA
Rfam family: Eukaryotic small subunit ribosomal RNA (bases 1-2577)
Source: RNAcentral